UAUCUUGUGCAAGUACCGGCCGAAACAA
Molecule: small RNA, 28 nt
Filed under: Bombyx mori (domestic silkworm)
Lineage: Eukaryota; Metazoa; Arthropoda; Insecta; Lepidoptera; Bombycidae
Description: ovarian small RNA-6625
Source: RNAcentral